CGAAGCUGUGUGAGCUAAGGAGUGCAUAUAAUAGUAGAAAAGUGUUGCAAAAUGUGGGAGAGUAGUCCUUAGGGGUGAUAGGCUUCCCAAACACAGCGAUAACUUGUUUACCCCGAAACUUAUUUAGUACAAUACAAGCCCAGAGUGCUAAGACUGUGGGCAGGGAUCAAUUGUCUGGAAGGCUAUUUAUCGAGCGUAAAAGCGUAUAAAUGGGAAAUAUAACAUUAAUUUGUUUCGGUUAUCUUGAGUAGAGGUAAGUAUUUUUAUUAGCUAUUAUAUUUAUAAUGUUGAUAUUAGUAGUAUUAAAAGUGUGCCGAAUGAACUCGGCUAAAGCUCUCCGACUGUUUAUCAAAAACAUAGCUAAAUGCAAUUAUAUUUGGUACUUCCUGCUCAAUGACAUAGUUAAAUAGCCGCAGUACUUUGACUGUGCAAAGGUAGCAUAAUCAAUUGGCUUAUAAUUGAAGUCUGGAAUGAAAGGAUAUACGGGGAUCUACUGUAUCCAGCAUUUACAAUUAACUUGCCUACCGAGUGAAAAUGCUUGGGGCAAAAUGUUAGACGAGAAGACCCUAGAAAUUUGCAAAGCUGUUUAGUUGGGGCAACGUGGUAGGAGUAAACCUACAAUAAGGACAAGCAAUAGUUUAGCCAGAAAAAAUUACUCUAGGGAUAACAGCAUAAUUUGGAAAAGUUUGUGACCUCGAUGUUGGAUUUGGGAAUAACAGUUCAGA
RNAcentral lists this ribosomal RNA (725 nucleotides) under Rhagada sp. 'Bachsten Ck'. RNAcentral describes it as "partial 16S ribosomal RNA". It matches the Rfam family "Bacterial large subunit ribosomal RNA", at positions 716 to 2615 of the family's 2925-position model. Lineage: Eukaryota; Metazoa; Mollusca; Gastropoda; Stylommatophora; Camaenidae. The record is from RNAcentral.